CCCUUAGAUGUCCUGGGCUGCACGCGCGCUACACUGACACAUGCAGCGAGUGUUCCUGGUCCGGUGGGACUAGGUACUCUUUUGAACGUGUGUCGUGAUGGGGAUAGAUUAUUGCAAUUAUUAAUCUUCAACGAGGAAUUCCUAGUAAGUGCAAGUCAUCAGCUUGCGCUGAUUACGUCCCUGCCCUUUGUACACACCGCCCGUCGCUCCUACCGAUUGAAUGUUCCGGUGAAUAAUUCGGACUGCAGUCGUGGGGUCUGUACCACUGCGACUGUGGGAAGUUUAGUGAACCUUAACAUUUAGAGGAAGGAGAANUCGUANCA
RNAcentral lists this ribosomal RNA (323 nucleotides) under uncultured eukaryote. RNAcentral describes it as "partial 18S ribosomal RNA". It matches the Rfam family "Eukaryotic small subunit ribosomal RNA", at positions 1470 to 1796 of the family's 1831-position model. The record is from RNAcentral.